AAGGCAGAGCCCUCUUGGUAGCUGCACUGUCAGGAAGAGAAAACAGGUGCCAUUGACUUUGCCUUUCCUGGAGAAUAUUCCCUGUGGGAGAAUAUUCUGUGAGUCCUGCAGGACCAUAUAACGAACUGGACGUGGAGGGAGAUGAGGAACGAGAAGGAGCGUGCAACAGCAGGGGGACAUCUAGAGAGCAGGAGGAACUGAAGGGACGAGCAGUCAGCCUUACUGUGCAGACAAAGUUCAUCCCAAGAAGGGAGGAGGGCGUUAAAGACUGACUCAUCUACUGUGUGGGGUGAGCACGAGUCUGCCAUCCUGGAACUAGACAGCUCUCCUGGCCUGGACAUUUGUCAGCAUGUAACUCUCUGUGAGCACGACACUUAAUCCCUGUAUGCCUCGAUUUCCUGAGACAGGAGUUAGAAGCCUACUAUGAUGAGUUCCCGUGACCAAUGAAAUCGCAUAUAUCCACCAACAGGGGCGUAAGGGUUAAUCAGUGUUUCUUCCUUUCUUCGCCCCAUUUUAAUUACCCUGUUUAAUUUCAAAUACAUGAAGAUAUUGUUAACAUUUUGUUCUAUAC
Bos taurus (domestic cattle) is the source of this 571-nucleotide long non-coding RNA. The record is from Ensembl. Lineage: Eukaryota; Metazoa; Chordata; Mammalia; Artiodactyla; Bovidae.